Long non-coding RNA from Alexandromys fortis (reed vole), 776 nucleotides. RefSeq lists it as uncharacterized. NCBI's taxonomy places the organism in Eukaryota, Metazoa, Chordata, Mammalia, Rodentia, Cricetidae. The record is from RefSeq and is a predicted model, not a curated record. The transcript is spliced from 4 exons.
UCUCCCUACAACCAAGAGGCUCCAAUAAAGUGUGAUUUGGGAAGAAUCCUCGUCUGGUGGCUGUUCUUUCCUGCUGGUCAGGGAGUUCGCCGAACUAAGUAUACUUAAAGCUUAGGCUGGCUUUAACUACAAAGCACAAGCUGACCUUCAGUUCGUGAUUGUCCUGAAUGAGGUGCUUUUGUUGCCGUGAUUAUAAACCUGCACCACCACACCCAUAUCUGAAAACCGCAUUCCAAAAGAAAAGAUACAGAGUCCAAUUUAGAGUUGAUGGCUGGAAAAAAAAAUGCUUAGAGAAACAAGAUGGAGUCUUUGUCACCCAAGGAAUGAAAGGACAAUGAUAUUGCUUAAAGAGGGACUUAGAGGCUCUUUCCAGUGAGAAAGACACCUGGGGCAGAAGGCACUUGGGACCAGCAUCCUUCCUGAAGCUCACAGUUUGAUCCAGUGGAAUUGAUCAAGUAUAUACAGGAUGGUGCUACCAGUCUCCAGAUGAACUAGCUUCAACUUCUUACUCAGAUGCAUCUUCCUUCCUUAGUUGGUACUCACAGGAAAUACCCCUCAGAUACCCACAAAGGAAGCUGAAAUUAAGGCUGAGACUUUAGUAGCAGAACUGUCCACAUGACCUCUCUCUUUAGUGUCAUUCCCCUCAGCAAGCUCCAUAUAAAACAACCACAUCAUCAGUAUGAGUAUUCCACAUAUCCGCUGGUGACCACGGUGCUUUAAGGUGGUCAUUUGGAGGCAACGUAACACCACGGAAUCAUUUGGUAUUGACUUUAUAU